UAUAUGCUGGCACUCUGAAGCAGGUG
Molecule: non-coding RNA, 26 nt
Filed under: Cricetulus griseus (Chinese hamster)
Lineage: Eukaryota; Metazoa; Chordata; Mammalia; Rodentia; Cricetidae
Source: RNAcentral